RNAcentral lists this unclassified non-coding RNA (264 nucleotides) under uncultured Acremonium. RNAcentral's name for it is "sequence contains ITS2". The stretch from base 1 to 52 matches the Rfam family "5.8S ribosomal RNA", at positions 103 to 154 of the family's 154-position model. The record is from RNAcentral. Lineage: Eukaryota; Fungi; Ascomycota.
AACGCACAUUGCGCCCGCUAGUAUUCUGGCGGGCAUGCCUGUCUGAGCGUCAUUUCACCAAUCCCCCUGGGCUUCUUGUCCCGGGGGCUGUUGGGGAUCGCCGAGCGUACACUCGGCGUCCCCUAAACCUAGUGGCAGCCUCGCAGCGGCCUCCCCUGCGUAGUAAACACUCUCGCAGGCGGAACCACAGCGAAGGGUCGCCGUAAAACCCCCAACUUCUUAAUGGUUGACCUCAGAUCAGGUAGGAAUACCCGCUGAACUUAA